RNAcentral lists this ribosomal RNA (2402 nucleotides) under Bacillus subtilis. RNAcentral describes it as "partial 23S ribosomal RNA". It matches the Rfam family "Bacterial large subunit ribosomal RNA", at positions 1 to 2396 of the family's 2925-position model. Lineage: Bacteria; Bacillati; Bacillota; Bacilli; Caryophanales; Bacillaceae. The record is from RNAcentral.
AACGGUUAAGUUAGAAAGGGCGCACGGUGGAUGCCUUGGCACUAGGAGCCGAUGAAGGACGGGACGAACACCGAUAUGCUUCGGGGAGCUGUAAGCAAGCUUUGAUCCGGAGAUUUCCGAAUGGGGAAACCCACCACUCGUAAUGGAGUGGUAUCCAUAUCUGAAUUCAUAGGAUAUGAGAAGGCAGACCCGGGGAACUGAAACAUCUAAGUACCCGGAGGAAGAGAAAGCAAAUGCGAUUCCCUGAGUAGCGGCGAGCGAAACGGGAUUAGCCCAAACCAAGAGGCUUGCCUCUUGGGGUUGUAGGACACUCUGUACGGAGUUACAAAAGAACGAGGUAGAUGAAGAGGUCUGGAAAGGCCCGCCAUAGGAGGUAACAGCCCUGUAGUCAAAACUUCGUUCUCUCCUGAGUGGAUCCUGAGUACGGCGGAACACGUGAAAUUCCGUCGGAAUCCGGGAGGACCAUCUCCCAAGGCUAAAUACUCCCUAGUGACCGAUAGUGAACCAGUACCGUGAGGGAAAGGUGAAAAGCACCCCGGAAGGGGAGUGAAAGAGAUCCUGAAACCGUGUGCCUACAAGUAGUCAGAGCCCGUUAACGGGUGAUGGCGUGCCUUUUGUAGAAUGAACCGGCGAGUUACGAUCCCGUGCAAGGUUAAGCAGAAGAUGCGGAGCCGCAGCGAAAGCGAGUCUGAAUAGGGCGCAUGAGUACGUGGUCGUAGACCCGAAACCAGGUGAUCUACCCAUGUCCAGGGUGAAGUUCAGGUAACACUGAAUGGAGGCCCGAACCCACGCACGUUGAAAAGUGCGGGGAUGAGGUGUGGGUAGGGGUGAAAUGCCAAUCGAACCUGGAGAUAGCUGGUUCUCUCCGAAAUAGCUUUAGGGCUAGCCUCAAGGUAAGAGUCUUGGAGGUAGAGCACUGAUUGGACUAGGGGCCCCUACCGGGUUACCGAAUUCAGUCAAACUCCGAAUGCCAAUGACUUAUCCUUGGGAGUCAGACUGCGAGUGAUAAGAUCCGUAGUCGAAAGGGAAACAGCCCAGACCGCCAGCUAAGGUCCCAAAGUAUACGUUAAGUGGAAAAGGAUGUGGAGUUGCUUAGACAACCAGGAUGUUGGCUUAGAAGCAGCCACCAUUUAAAGAGUGCGUAAUAGCUCACUGGUCGAGUGACUCUGCGCCGAAAAUGUACCGGGGCUAAACGUAUCACCGAAGCUGCGGACUGUUCUUCGAACAGUGGUAGGAGAGCGUUCUAAGGGCUGUGAAGCCAGACCGGAAGGACUGGUGGAGCGCUUAGAAGUGAGAAUGCCGGUAUGAGUAGCGAAAGAGGGGUGAGAAUCCCCUCCACCGAAUGCCUAAGGUUUCCUGAGGAAGGCUCGUCCGCUCAGGGUUAGUCGGGACCUAAGCCGAGGCCGAAAGGCGUAGGCGAUGGACAACAGGUUGAUAUUCCUGUACCACCUCCUCACCAUUUGAGCAAUGGGGGGACGCAGGAGGAUAGGGUAAGCGCGGUAUUGGAUAUCCGCGUCCAAGCAGUUAGGCUGGGAAAUAGGCAAAUCCGUUUCCCAUAAGGCUGAGCUGUGAUGGCGAGCGAAAUAUAGUAGCGAAGUUCCUGAUUCCACACUGCCAAGAAAAGCCUCUAGCGAGGUGAGAGGUGCCCGUACCGCAAACCGACACAGGUAGGCGAGGAGAGAAUCCUAAGGUGAUCGAGAGAACUCUCGUUAAGGAACUCGGCAAAAUGACCCCGUAACUUCGGGAGAAGGGGUGCUCUGUUAGGGUGCAAGCCCGAGAGAGCCGCAGUGAAUAGGCCCAGGCGACUGUUUAGCAAAAACACAGGUCUCUGCGAAGCCGUAAGGCGAAGUAUAGGGGCUGACGCCUGCCCGGUGCUGGAAGGUUAAGAGGAGCGCUUAGCGUAAGCGAAGGUGCGAAUUGAAGCCCCAGUAAACGGCGGCCGUAACUAUAACGGUCCUAAGGUAGCGAAAUUCCUUGUCGGGUAAGUUCCGACCCGCACGAAAGGCGCAACGAUCUGGGCACUGUCUCAACGAGAGACUCGGUGAAAUUAUAGUACCUGUGAAGAUGCAGGUUACCCGCGACAGGACGGAAAGACCCCGUGGAGCUUUACUGCAGCCUGAUAUUGAAUGUUGGUACAGCUUGUACAGGAUAGGUAGGAGCCUUGGAAACCGGAGCGCCAGCUUCGGUGGAGGCAUCGGUGGGAUACUACCCUGGCUGUAUUGACCUUCUAACCCGCCGCCCUUAUCGGGCGGGGAGACAGUGUCAGGUGGGCAGUUUGACUGGGGCGGUCGCCUCCUAAAAGGUAACGGAGGCGCCCAAAGGUUCCCUCAGAAUGGUUGGAAAUCAUUCGCAGAGUGUAAAGGCACAAGGGAGCUUGACUGCGAGACCUACAAGUCGAGCAG